RNAcentral lists this ribosomal RNA (216 nucleotides) under uncultured bacterium. RNAcentral's name for it is "partial 16S ribosomal RNA". It matches the Rfam family "Bacterial small subunit ribosomal RNA", at positions 585 to 793 of the family's 1533-position model. The record is from RNAcentral.
AAGUUCAGAUGUGAAAGACCCGGGGCGUCAACCUCGGAAUUGCAUUUGAAACUGGCAAACUAGAGUACUGUAGAGGGGGGUAGGAAUUUCUAGGUGUAGCGGUGAAAUAGCGUAGAGAUCUGAAGGAAUACCGGUGGCGAAGGCGGCCCCCUCGGACAGAUACUGACACUCAGAUGCGAAAGCGUGGGGAGCAAACAGGAUUAGAUACCCUGGUAG